AACGAACGCUGGCGGCAUGCCUAACACAUGCAAGUCGAACGAGACCUUCGGGUCUAGUGGCGCACGGGUGCGUAACGCGUGGGAACCUGCCCUUAGGUUCGGAAUAACUCCCCGAAAGGGGUGCUAAUACCGGAUAAUGUCUUCGGACCAAAGAUUUAUCGCCUUUGGAUGGGCCCGCGUUGGAUUAGCUAGUUGGUAGGGUAAAAGCCUACCAAGGCGACGAUCCAUAGCUGGUCUGAGAGGAUGAUCAGCCACACUGGGACUGAGACACGGCCCAGACUCCCACGGGAGGCAGCAGUGGGGAAUAUUGGACAAUGGGCGAAAGCCUGAUCCAGCAAUGCCGCGUGAGUGAUGAAGGCCUUAGGGUUGUAAAGCUCUUUUACCCGGGAUGAUAAUGACAGUACCGGGAGAAUAAGCGCCGGCUAACUCCGUG
This 433-nucleotide ribosomal RNA is filed under the name uncultured bacterium. RNAcentral's name for it is "partial 16S ribosomal RNA". It matches the Rfam family "Bacterial small subunit ribosomal RNA", at positions 29 to 507 of the family's 1533-position model. The record is from RNAcentral.